Molecule: small nucleolar RNA, 172 nt
Filed under: Trichophyton rubrum BMU01672
Lineage: Eukaryota; Fungi; Ascomycota; Eurotiomycetes; Onygenales; Arthrodermataceae
Description: CD-box snoRNA
Source: RNAcentral
ACUACCGACUUCUAGCCCUAACUAAUAGUUAUCUGAGACAUCUCUUAUGACGCAGGGCGUUGUGACUUCCACUCUUUUCUCCUUCGCUUGCUAGACGCAAGAGUUUUUCCUGCUUGAUUUCACUUCUGCUCGUAUACAACGUACCUUGCUCACCAGAUUUGCAAUUGAUUUG